This 305-nucleotide ribosomal RNA is filed under the name uncultured bacterium. RNAcentral's name for it is "bacterial SSU rRNA". It matches the Rfam family "Bacterial small subunit ribosomal RNA", at positions 337 to 635 of the family's 1533-position model. The record is from RNAcentral.
ACCUACGGGGGGCAGCAGUAGGGAAUUUUCGUCAAUGGGCGCAAGCCUGAACGAGCAAUGCCGCGUGAACGAGGAAGGUCUUCGGAUCGUAAAGUUCUGUUGAAGGGGAAAAAGAGCGGAGAGAGGAAAUGGUCUCCGAUUGAUAUUACCCUUCGAGGAAGUCACGGCUAACUACGUGCCAGCUGCCGCGGUAAUACGUAGGUGGCGAGCGUUAUCCGGAAUGAUUGGGCGUAAAGGGUGCGUAGGCGGCCUGCUAAGUCUGGAGUGAAAGGUACCGGCUCAACCGGUACAGGCUCUGGAAACUG